RNAcentral lists this ribosomal RNA (480 nucleotides) under uncultured bacterium. RNAcentral's name for it is "partial 16S ribosomal RNA". It matches the Rfam family "Bacterial small subunit ribosomal RNA", at positions 28 to 507 of the family's 1533-position model. The record is from RNAcentral.
GACGAACGCUGGCGGCGCGCUUAACACAUGCAAGUCGAGCGAUGAAACUUUAACAGAACCCUUCGGGGCGAAGAUAAAGUGGAUUAGCGGCGGACGGGUGAGUAACACGUGAGUAACCUGCCUUAGACAUUGGGAUAGCCUCGGGAAACCGGGAUUAAUACCAAAUAAAAUCAUAAUGACACAUGUCAUAACGAUCAAAACUCCGGUGGUCUAAGAUGGACUCGCGUCCCAUUAGCUAGUUGGUAGGGUAAAAGCCUACCAAGGCGACGAUGGGUAGCCGGCCUGAGAGGGUGAACGGCCACAUUGGAACUGAGAAACGGUCCAAACUCCUACGGGAGGCAGCAGUGGGGAAUAUUGCACAAUGGAGGGGACUCUGAUGCAGCGACGCCGCGUGAACGAAGAAGGCUUUCGAGUCGUAAAGUUCUUUUAUAUGGGAAGAUAAUGACGGUACCAUAAGAAAAAGCCCCGGCUAACUACGUG